AUAAACUAUGUACUUGAAGCUUGUAAUCCCAUCUUUCAAAUAGGUUUUGGUUCAGAAACUUUUGUGGGAUUUGGGUGAGUGGAAAGUGAAGCCAAAGACAGCAUCUUGCACACUAUUUUUAACACAGCUGAAAUAGAAACUUAGUUUUAAAUUAGUUUCUGUAGCAGCUGAUUUAGUUACUUUUCAGUAGCUCUUUAAAUAGCUUCUAAGUGUUAUUUAACUUCUGUUUCAUAGUAAAGUAAUAGUUUUCUUAUUUUUGUAUAUUACUUAUAACAUAGUUACUAACUUUAGCUCACCAUUCUUUGUUUGUACUUUACCUUUUGGGUAAGGUUCCAGAGACGAUCUUGGCAAUCCACAAGUGUGAGAAGUGAAGUUUGAGCUUGACUUUGUGCUGUGCAAAUCGAGGUAGGGUUUGAUGGGGUGUUUGUGUUGUUGUUAUUUAUGCUAUUAUAUGGUUUGUUUGAUAUUGAAUGUAUUUGUGAUAUUGGAUUAUUUGGUAUUAGGUUGAUUGAUAUUGAUUCGUUUGGCAUUGAGUUAUUUGAUAUGAAUUGAAUAAAAUGUUGGAUGAUAUUGAAUCGAUUAUAACAUGUUUAUAAUUGAAAGCAUGUAUUUGUUAUUUUUAUUUUUUAAAUUGUGAUUACAUGUUGUCAUGGGAAAGAGUAAGGUUGGAAGUAAAACGGAGAAUGAGUGUUUGAGAGUAUAUGAGACUUUGUUAUUAGGAAACCAUUUGUGUAGUUGAGUUUCCUCAUAGGUUGUCCUCGGGAUCUAUGAUUAGCCCACAUGCCACACGUGCACAAAUGUAGGGAAAGUAUGCCUUUUUGAUGGCGGACAUUGAUAAAACGAUCUUAUCGGGUUGCAGAUCGGGACCAUAAGUAUAACAAGACAACUAACAGAUAGAGAAAUUAUAUUUGAGGGUGAAGUGAGGUGUGGGAUAAGAGUUGAGUUCAUAUUGCAUCCAUGCAUUCUCGAUAUGCUAUGUUUGUUUGUUUUGACUCGUAUUUAAUGUCAUGUUUUAUUAGUAUAUUAACUAGCCCUGCUAAGUGUUGCUCACCCCUCAUCAAACCCCUUGCAGGUGUGGUUCUUAAAGCGUAGGAAAAGUGUUAUAUUGUAAAUUAAAGCUUUCAUGUUUUUGUUUUGUAAAAUAAGGCUUGAAUAAAGAAUGGAUGUUUUGAAAAGAAACGCUAUUAUAAUUUGUUUGUAAACACUUUAAGCAUGUAUGUUUUAAGUGUCUUCUUAUAAGACUUGUAAUCUAAAUAAAGAUGCAAAGGUUGUUGUUUCUUACAUCAUGUUAUGAUAUUUAUCUCAUUUUAAUUAUGGAUAUUAAAUUGUCUGUAAUUAAGCAUGUGUGUUUUAAGUGCCUUCUUAUAAGGCUUGUAAUCUAAAUAAAGAUGCAAAGGUUGUUGUCUCUUAUGUCAUGUUACGAUAUAUAUCUCAUUUUAGGGUUAAAUUGUCUGUAAUUAAAAUGUAGGUUGUUGUCUCUUAUGUCAUGUUACGAUAUAUAUCUCAUUUGGGUUCAAACCUCACUGACAUAUGUAGGGUGUGUGAGUUAUUAAUAAAAUGUUUAAAAAAAAAAAUAAGUUACGAUAUAUAUCUCAUUUUAAUUAAUUAUGGAUAUUAAAUUGUCU
Molecule: long non-coding RNA, 1625 nt
Filed under: Fragaria vesca (wild strawberry)
Lineage: Eukaryota; Viridiplantae; Streptophyta; Magnoliopsida; Rosales; Rosaceae
Description: long non-coding RNA (FVES_LNC001103)
Source: RNAcentral